RNAcentral lists this small nuclear RNA (107 nucleotides) under Colobus angolensis palliatus. Lineage: Eukaryota; Metazoa; Chordata; Mammalia; Primates; Cercopithecidae. The record is from RNAcentral.
GUGCUCGCUUCGGCAGCACAUAUACUAAAACUGGAACGAUACAGAGAAAAUUAGCAUGGCCCCUGUGCAAGGAUGACACGCAAAUUCAUGAAGCGUUCCAUAUUAAA